Molecule: ribosomal RNA, 253 nt
Filed under: uncultured bacterium
Lineage: Bacteria
Description: partial 16S ribosomal RNA
Rfam family: Bacterial small subunit ribosomal RNA
Source: RNAcentral
UACGGAGGGUGCGAGCGUUGUCCGGAUUCACUGGGCGUAAAGGGUGCGCAGGCGGCCAGGUGUGUUAGGCGUGAAAGCCCGGGGCUUAACCCCGGAAUUGCACCUAAAACUACUUGGCUAGAGCAUUGGAGAGGGUAGCGGAAUUCACGGUGUAGCAGUGAAAUGCGUAGAUAUCGUGAGGAACACCAGAGGCGAAGGCGGCUACCUGGACAAUUGCUGACGCUCAGGCACGAAAGCGUGGGGAGCAAAAGGG